GUUCCACUUUGACCUGGCUCCCACUCAGAGGGUGAUCCUUCAUCGCAAGUUUGUUGCUACAAACAUUAGAUCUUCCGAGGGAAGGCAGUCCUGAGGGGCUGUGCUCUUCAUUUGCAGACUCUUGGUACCUAAGCUGAUCUAUCCUCAUAUAGGAGUCAUAUAAUCCGUCUCCAAACCUGGCUGCACCGAGCGGCGCCUCCGGCUUCCUGCCCAGCAGCAUGGUGGCGGAGGGAGGCGGCCCCCAUCCCCCGUCGCGCCGCCGCCGCCGCCGCCCCGCACCUCCGGCCUCGCCGCCGCCGUCCAGCGCUGCCGCGGCGGGCAGCCAGGCUGCGGCCGCCCGCAACUGCC
RNAcentral lists this long non-coding RNA (348 nucleotides) under Gallus gallus (chicken). The record is from RNAcentral. Lineage: Eukaryota; Metazoa; Chordata; Aves; Galliformes; Phasianidae.